GACGAACGCUGGCGGCGUGCUUAACACAUGCAAGUCGGACGGAAAGGCCCUGCUUUUGUGGGGUGCUCGAGUGGCGAACGGGUGAGUAACACGUGAGUAACCUGCCCUUGACUUUGGGAUAACUUCAGGAAACUGGGGCUAAUACCGGAUAGGAGCUCCUGCUGCAUGGUGGGGGUUGGAAAGUUUCGGCGGUUGGGGAUGGACUCGCGGCUUAUCAGCUUGUUGGUGGGGUAGUGGCUUACCAAGGCUUUGACGGGUAGCCGGCCUGAGAGGGUGACCGGCGACAUUGGGACUGAGAUACGGCCCAGAGUCCUACGGGAGGCAGCAGUGGGGAAUAUUGCACAAUGGGCGGAAGCCUGAUGCAGCAACGCCGCGUGCGGGAUGACGGCCUUCGGGUUGUAAACCGCUUUCGCCUGUGACGAAGCGUGAGUGACGGUAAUGGGUAAAGAAGCACCGGCUAACUACGUG
This 468-nucleotide ribosomal RNA is filed under the name uncultured bacterium. Its description in RNAcentral is "partial 16S ribosomal RNA". It matches the Rfam family "Bacterial small subunit ribosomal RNA", at positions 28 to 507 of the family's 1533-position model. The record is from RNAcentral.